UACGUAGGGUGCAAGCGUUGUCCGGAAUUAUUGGGCGUAAAGAGCUCGUAGGCGGUCUGUUGCGUCGGGAGUGAAAACUUACAGCUUAACUGUGAGCGUGCUUCCGAUACGGGCAGACUUGAGGUAUUCAGGGGAGAACGGAAUUCCUGGUGUAGCGGUGAAAUGCGCAGAUAUCAGGAGGAACACCGGUGGCGAAGGCGGUUCUCUGGGAAUAUCCUGACGCUGAGGAGCGAAAGUGUGGGGAGCGAACAGG
Molecule: ribosomal RNA, 253 nt
Filed under: uncultured bacterium
Lineage: Bacteria
Description: partial 16S ribosomal RNA
Rfam family: Bacterial small subunit ribosomal RNA
Source: RNAcentral